AACGAACGCUGGCGGCAUGCCUAACACAUGCAAGUCGAACGAGACCUUCGGGUCUAGUGGCGCACGGGUGCGUAACGCGUGGGGAAUCUGCCCCUCGGUUCGGAAUAACACAGAGAAAUUUGUGCUAAUACCGGAUAAUGACUUCGGUCCAAAGAUUUAUCGCCGAGGGAUGAGCCCGCGUAAGAUUAGCUUGUUGGUGGGGUAAUGGCCUACCAAGGCGACGAUCUUUAGCUGGUCUGAGAGGAUGAUCAGCCACACUGGGACUGAGACACGGCCCAGACUCCUACGGGAGGCAGCAGUGGGGAAUAUUGCACAAUGGGCGAAAGCCUGAUGCAGCAACGCCGCGUGAGCGAGGAAGGCCUUGGGUCGUAAAGCUCUGUCGAGGAGGAAGAUAAUGACGGUACUCCUCGAGGAAGCCCCGGCUAACUACGUGCCAGCAGCCGCGGUAAGAGUCACGUCG
This 460-nucleotide ribosomal RNA is filed under the name uncultured bacterium. RNAcentral's name for it is "bacterial SSU rRNA". It matches the Rfam family "Bacterial small subunit ribosomal RNA", at positions 29 to 534 of the family's 1533-position model. The record is from RNAcentral.